Molecule: ribosomal RNA, 561 nt
Filed under: Paraleuctra vershina
Lineage: Eukaryota; Metazoa; Arthropoda; Insecta; Plecoptera; Leuctridae
Description: partial 16S ribosomal RNA
Rfam family: Bacterial large subunit ribosomal RNA
Source: RNAcentral
UCGCCUGUUUUAUCAAAAACAUGUCUUCUUGUAAUUAAUUUGAAGUCUGACCUGCCCACUGACAUUAAAUGUUGAAGGGCCGCGGUAUUUUGACCGUGCAAAGGUAGCAUAAUCAUUAGUCUUUUCAUUGAAGGCUUGUAUGAAUGGUUGGACGAGGCAUUGACUGUCUCCGUGUAAAUGAUUUUAGAAUUUAACUUUUAAGUUAAAAGGCUUAAAUAAGGUUAAAGGACGAGAAGACCCUAUAGAGCUUUACACUUGCUGUUCAUUAUAUAUUUGGGAGUAUUUUUAUAUUGGGCAAUAAAGUGUUUUGUUGGGGUGACAAGAAGAUGAAAUAAACUCUUUUUAGGUUAGAACCAUUGAUGAAUGAAUUGUUGAUCCAUUAUUAGUGAUUAUAAGACUAAGUUACCUUAGGGAUAACAGCGUAAUCUUUUUCGAGAGUUCUUAUCGACAAAAAGGAUUGCGACCUCGAUGUUGGAUUAAGAGUAAUUUUGGGUGUAGAUGUUCAAAGUUUAGGUCUGUUCGACCUUUAAAUUCUUACAUGAUCUGAGUUCAAACCGGAGA